UGAGGAAUAUUGGUCAAUGGGCGAGAGCCUGAACCAGCCAAGUCGCGUGAAGGAAGACAGUCCUAAGGAUUGUAAACUUCUUUUAUACGGGAAUAACGGGCGAUACGAGUAUUGCUUUGAAUGUACCGUAAGAAUAAGCAUCGGCUAACUCCGUGCCAGCAGCCGCGGUAAUACGGAGGAUGCGAGCGUUAUCCGGAUUUAUUGGGUUUAAAGGGUGCGUAGGUUGUUCGGUAAGUCAGCGGUGAAACCUGGGCGCUCAACGUUCAGCCUGCCGUUGAAACUGCCGGGCUUGAGUUCAGUGGCGGCAGGCGGAAUUCGUGGUGUAGCGGUGAAAUGCAUAGAUAUCACGAGGAACUCCGAUUGCGAAGGCAGCUUGCCAUACUGCGACUGACACUGAAGCACGAAGGCGUGGGUAUCAAACAGG
Molecule: ribosomal RNA, 424 nt
Filed under: Fusobacteriota bacterium
Lineage: Bacteria; Fusobacteriati; Fusobacteriota
Description: Fusobacteria bacterium partial 16S ribosomal RNA
Rfam family: Bacterial small subunit ribosomal RNA
Source: RNAcentral